RNAcentral lists this long non-coding RNA (2236 nucleotides) under Salmo salar (Atlantic salmon). Its description in RNAcentral is "lncRNA (ENSSSAG00000116651.1)". The record is from RNAcentral. Lineage: Eukaryota; Metazoa; Chordata; Actinopteri; Salmoniformes; Salmonidae.
CUUAAACAAUGUCUACACUGUAUUUCUGAUCAAUUUGAUGUUAUUUUAAUGGACAAAAUGUUUUUCCUUUUCUUUCAAAAACAAGGACAUUUCUAAGUGUCCCCAAACUGUUGAACAGUAGUGUAACUAAACCAAAAUGGAACAUGCAGAAAAUACAUUUCUGAAGCAACAAAAUGAUACCUUGUUCACCCCCCCUCAAUAACCCAUAACGAAAAAGCCAAAACUGGUUUAGACAUUAAUUUAUUCAAAAUAAAAAACAGAAAUAACACAAUUACAUUAAGUAUUCAGACCCUUUUCUCAGUACUUUAUUGAAGCACCUUUGGCAGUGAUUACAGCCUCGAGUCUUCUUGGGUAUGACGCUACAAGCUUGGCACAUCUGUAUUUGGGGAGUUUCUCCCAUUCUUCGCUGCAGGUCCUUUCAAGCUCUGUCAGGUUGGAUGGGGAGUGUCGCUGCACAGCUAUUUUCAGGUCUCUCCAGAGAUGUUAGAUCGGAUUCAAGUCCGGGCUCUGACUGGGCCACUCAAGGACAUUCAGAGACUUGUCCGAAGGCCACUCCUGUGUUGUCUUGGUUGUGUGCUUAGGGUCGUUGUCCUGUUGGAAGGUGAACCUUCACCCCAGUCUGCGGUUCUGAGCGCUCUGGAACAGCUAGUACAGCCCCUAGUACCUUAGGUAGUACAGUAUAGCCUCAGCUAGUCCAGCCCCUAGUCCAGCAGGUAGUACAGUAUAGCCUCAGCUAGUCCAGCAGGUAGUCCAGUAUAGCCUCAGCUAGUCCAGCUCCUAGUCCAGCAGGUAGUACAGUAUAGCCUCAGCUAGUCCAGCAGGUAGUCCAGUAUAGCCUCAGCUAGUCCAGCUCCUAGUCCAGCAGGUAGUACAGUAUAGCCUCAGCUAGUCCAGCAGGUAGUCCAGUAUAGCCUCAGCUAGUCCAGCAGGUAGUACAGUAUAGCCUCAGCUAGUACAGCUCCUAGUCCAGCAGGUAGUACAGUAUAGCCUCAGCUAGUCCAGCUCCUAGUCCAGCAGGUAGUACAGUAUAGCCUCAGCUAGUCCAGCUCCUAGUCCAGCAGGUAGUACAGUAUAGCCUCAGCUAGUCCAGCAGGUAGUACUGUAUAGCCUCAGCUAGUCAGCCCCUAGUCCAGUAUAGCCUCAGCUAGUCAGCCCCUAGUCCAGCAGGUAGUUGGUUUUGAGAGAGAGCCUUGACAGAAUGAUAACCACGCCACAGAACUGUAUACAUUUAUCAAUGAUACAUGUUCCAACUCGGGUCCCUUGACACAGAGGCAAGUACGCUAACCCCAAGAUAGACAACUCUAGAGCUUCUCCCUAACCCUUAACCCUAACCGCUUAACCCUAACCCCAAGAUAGACAACUCUAGAGCUUCUCCCUAACCCUUAACCCUAACCCCAAGAUAGACAACUCUAGAGCUAACCCUAAACCUUAACCCUAACCCCAAGAUAGACAACUCUAGAGCUUCUCCCUAACCCUAACCCUUAACCCUAACCCUUAACCCUAACCCCAAGAUAGACAACUCUAGAGCUACUCCCUAACCCUUAACCCCUAACCCCUAACCCUUAACCCUAACCCCAAGAUAGACAACUCUAGAGCUAACCCUAACCCUUAACCCUAACCCCUAACCCUAACCCCUAACCCCAAGAUAGACAACUCUAGAGCUAACCCUAACCCUUAACCCCCCUAACCCCUAACCCUAACCCCUAACCCCAAGAUAGACAACUCUAGAGCUUCUGAAAGGUUGUUCUAGUGUGGAUAUGAAUGGAGGCUAUGGUCAUAACAGAGAACAGAAAAACAUGGAUGUCUGAGAGUAGUUGUUCUGCUGGUCAGGGAAGGCAAUAGAUUGUAUAGUUAUCUUCUGAUCAGGGUAAAAUCACUACCCCACAACAAUACAAUCUACUACCUCACAACGCCUCAGCAGAUAGACAAUGACUUCAUAAUGUUGACGAUGUACCUUGAUGAUUUCUUCCUGUUCGUUCUCAAAACACCACAGCAAAUACGAUCAGAAUAGAAUCUUUUACAAUGACCAUAAGAGGAGAUUGACUGUAGUAUCCUUGGUGAUUGACACAUUGAGAAAGACAGUAGGUUGUACAGUUAUCUCCCAGUGUGGGUGUGACCCUAAAACUAUCCAACCUACUACCUCAUCCCACUGAGCUGAGGAACCUGGAGAGGAACCUGGAGAGGAACCUGGAGAGGAACCUGGAGAGGAACCUGGUCUGAUCCACCUCACAGCAUC